Molecule: ribosomal RNA, 516 nt
Filed under: uncultured bacterium
Lineage: Bacteria
Description: bacterial SSU rRNA
Rfam family: Bacterial small subunit ribosomal RNA
Source: RNAcentral
AUUGAACGCUGGCGGCAUGCCUUACACAUGCAAGUCGAACGGUAACAGGUCUUCGGAUGCUGACGAGUGGCGAACGGGUGAGUAAUAUAUCGGAACGUGCCCAGUCGUGGGGGAUAACGCAGCGAAAGCUGUGCUAAUACCGCAUACGAUCUAUGGAUGAAAGCGGGGGAUCGCAAAACCUCGCGCGAUUGGAGCGGCCGAUAUCAGAUUAGGUAGUUGGUGGGGUAAAGGCCCACCAAGCCAACGAUCUGUAGCUGGUCUGAGAGGACGACCAGCCACACUGGAACUGAGACACGGUCCAGACUCCUACGGGAGGCAGCAGUGGGGAAUUUUGGACAAUGGGCGCAAGCCUGAUCCAGCAAUGCCGCGUGCAGGAUGAAGGCCUUCGGGUUCGUAACGUAGUCUUUGUUACGGUAACGAAAACGGAACGUCUGGUUAAGUUAACCUACGGGUCGGUCACUGUACGGUAACCGGUAACGAAUAAGACGACCGACCGUAACUAACGUCGCACGCACG